RNAcentral lists this ribosomal RNA (1412 nucleotides) under Staphylococcus haemolyticus. RNAcentral describes it as "bacterial SSU rRNA". It matches the Rfam family "Bacterial small subunit ribosomal RNA". Lineage: Bacteria; Bacillati; Bacillota; Bacilli; Caryophanales; Staphylococcaceae. The record is from RNAcentral.
GCAGUCGAGCGAACAGACAAGGAGCUUGCUCCUUUGACGUUAGCGGCGGACGGGUGAGUAACACGUGGGUAACCUACCUAUAAGACUGGGAUAACUUCGGGAAACCGGAGCUAAUACCGGAUAAUAUUUCGAACCGCAUGGUUCGAUAGUGAAAGAUGGUUUUGCUAUCACUUAUAGAUGGACCCGCGCCGUAUUAGCUAGUUGGUAAGGUAACAGCUUACCAAGGCGACGAUACGUAGCCGACCUGAGAGGGUGAUCGGCCACACUGGAACUGAGACACGGUCCAGACUCCUACGGGAGGCAGCAGUAGGGAAUCUUCCGCAAUGGGCGAAAGCCUGACGGAGCAACGCCGCGUGAGUGAUGAAGGUCUUCGGAUCGUAAAACUCUGUUAUUAGGGAAGAACAUACGUGUAAGUAACUGUGCACGUCUUGACGGUACCUAAUCAGAAAGCCACGGCUAACUACGUGCCAGCAGCCGCGGUAAUACGUAGGUGGCAAGCGUUAUCCGGAAUUAUUGGGCGUAAAGCGCGCGUAGGCGGUUUUUUAAGUCUGAUGUGAAAGCCCACGGCUCAACCGUGGAGGGUCAUUGGAAACUGGAAAACUUGAGUGCAGAAGAGGAAAGUGGAAUUCCAUGUGUAGCGGUGAAAUGCGCAGAGAUAUGGAGGAACACCAGUGGCGAAGGCGACUUUCUGGUCUGUAACUGACGCUGAUGUGCGAAAGCGUGGGGAUCAAACAGGAUUAGAUACCCUGGUAGUCCACGCCGUAAACGAUGAGUGCUAAGUGUUAGGGGGUUUCCGCCCCUUAGUGCUGCAGCUAACGCAUUAAGCACUCCGCCUGGGGAGUACGACCGCAAGGUUGAAACUCAAAGGAAUUGACGGGGACCCGCACAAGCGGUGGAGCAUGUGGUUUAAUUCGAAGCAACGCGAAGAACCUUACCAAAUCUUGACAUCCUUUGACAACUCUAGAGAUAGAGCCUUCCCCUUCGGGGGACAAAGUGACAGGUGGUGCAUGGUUGUCGUCAGCUCGUGUCGUGAGAUGUUGGGUUAAGUCCCGCAACGAGCGCAACCCUUAAGCUUAGUUGCCAUCAUUAAGUUGGGCACUCUAAGUUGACUGCCGGUGACAAACCGGAGGAAGGUGGGGAUGACGUCAAAUCAUCAUGCCCCUUAUGAUUUGGGCUACACACGUGCUACAAUGGACAAUACAAAGGGCAGCGAAACCGCGAGGUCAAGCAAAUCCCAUAAAGUUGUUCUCAGUUCGGAUUGUAGUCUGCAACUCGACUACAUGAAGCUGGAAUCGCUAGUAAUCGUAGAUCAGCAUGCUACGGUGAAUACGUUCCCGGGUCUUGUACACACCGCCCGUCACACCACGAGAGUUUGUAACACCCGAAGCCGGUGGAGUAACCAUUGGAGCUAG